RNAcentral lists this transfer RNA (76 nucleotides) under Chloroflexota bacterium. Its description in RNAcentral is "Chloroflexi bacterium tRNA-His". It matches the Rfam family "tRNA". Rfam says of the family: Transfer RNA (tRNA) molecules are approximately 80 nucleotides in length. Their secondary structure includes four short double-helical elements and three loops (D, anti-codon, and T loops). Further hydrogen bonds mediate the characteristic L-shaped molecular structure. tRNAs have two regions of fundamental functional importance: the anti-codon, which is responsible for specific mRNA codon recognition, and the 3' end, to which the tRNAs corresponding amino acid is attached (by aminoacyl-tRNA synthetases). tRNAs cope with the degeneracy of the genetic code in two manners: having more than one tRNA (with a specific anti-codon) for a particular amino acid; and 'wobble' base-pairing, i.e. permitting non-standard base-pairing at the 3rd anti-codon position. RNAcentral also lists the same sequence under 1 other name. The record is from RNAcentral. Lineage: Bacteria; Bacillati; Chloroflexota.
GCGGGCGUAGCUUAGCGGUUAAAGCGCCUGGUUGUGGCCCAGGAGAUCGAGGGUUCGAUCCCCUCCGCUCGCCCCA